GAUGAACGCUGGCGGCGUGCCUAAUACAUGCAAGUCGAGCGAACAGACGAGGAGCUUGCUCCUCUGACGUUAGCGGCGGACGGGUGAGUAACACGUGGAUAACCUACCUAUAAGACUGGGAUAACUUCGGGAAACCGGAGCUAAUACCGGAUAAUAUAUUGAACCGCAUGGUUCAAUAGUGAAAGACGGUUUUGCUGUCACUUAUAGAUGGAUCCGCGCCGCAUUAGCUAGUUGGUAAGGUAACGGCUUACCAAGGCAACGAUGCGUAGCCGACCUGAGAGGGUGAUCGGCCACACGGGAACUGAGACACGGUCCAGACUCCUACGGGAGGCAGCAGUAGGGAAUCUUCCGCAAUGGUCGAAAGCCUGACGGAGCAACGCCGCGUGAGUGAUGAAGGUCUUCGGAGCGUAAAACUCUGUUAUUAGGGAAGAACAAAUGUGUAAGUAACUAUGCACGUCUUGACGGUACCUAAUCAGAAAGCCACGGCUAACUACGUG
This 497-nucleotide ribosomal RNA is filed under the name uncultured bacterium. RNAcentral's name for it is "partial 16S ribosomal RNA". It matches the Rfam family "Bacterial small subunit ribosomal RNA", at positions 28 to 507 of the family's 1533-position model. The record is from RNAcentral.